RNAcentral lists this ribosomal RNA (507 nucleotides) under Triticum aestivum (bread wheat). RNAcentral describes it as "partial small subunit ribosomal RNA". Lineage: Eukaryota; Viridiplantae; Streptophyta; Magnoliopsida; Poales; Poaceae. The record is from RNAcentral.
AUGCAGAGAGGCGAUUCAGAAAGCUAUGAGGUUCAGCCUGCCACUGAUUCAGUGUCUGCGUCGGAGCUACAUGUUGCAGGAAGAGAGCCAAGAAACGCAGAUAAAUAUCCAAGUCAAAGCAUUUCAGAGCAAAAUGGCAAGGGUGAGCCUAGAGUCAAGCCUCGGAGGAGCAAGAAAGGCUCAUCUCGCAAAACCAUUUCAGAGAAUUCUGAACUUUCUUCGGCACCUUCACGGAUUUGCGAUGACCAACAGCAUGUUUCAGAAGCAGAGCUAGUCAGUUGUGACACCAAACAUGUUAACUGUGGUAACAAUGAAGGUUCAUCUGGUGCACUUACUCAUGGUGAUUUUGCUGGACAGCUGCAGUGUCAGCAGGUCGAAAAAAAUGAACUAGUGUCACCACCAAAGUUGGAAUCAUCAAUAUCACCUGAUGGAGGGAAGUCAGUCAACUCAUUUCCCAGUUCCCACCCAGGCGUCUUUUUCGCAGUUCUUCGACGCCUCAAAGCUUGA